CGGGGUAUAGCUCAGUGGUAGAGCGCAUGCUUAGCAUGCAUGAGGUCCUGGGUUCAAUCCCCAGUACCUCCA
Molecule: transfer RNA, 72 nt
Filed under: Camelus bactrianus (Bactrian camel)
Lineage: Eukaryota; Metazoa; Chordata; Mammalia; Artiodactyla; Camelidae
Also listed under: 2 other names
Rfam family: tRNA
About the family: Transfer RNA (tRNA) molecules are approximately 80 nucleotides in length. Their secondary structure includes four short double-helical elements and three loops (D, anti-codon, and T loops). Further hydrogen bonds mediate the characteristic L-shaped molecular structure. tRNAs have two regions of fundamental functional importance: the anti-codon, which is responsible for specific mRNA codon recognition, and the 3' end, to which the tRNAs corresponding amino acid is attached (by aminoacyl-tRNA synthetases). tRNAs cope with the degeneracy of the genetic code in two manners: having more than one tRNA (with a specific anti-codon) for a particular amino acid; and 'wobble' base-pairing, i.e. permitting non-standard base-pairing at the 3rd anti-codon position.
Source: Rfam by way of RNAcentral